Molecule: ribosomal RNA, 2428 nt
Filed under: human gut metagenome
Description: bacterial LSU rRNA
Rfam family: Bacterial large subunit ribosomal RNA
Source: RNAcentral
AAAGAACCCCGGCGAGGGGAGUGAAAAAGAACCUGAAACCGUGUACGUACAAGCAGUGGGAGCCUCUUUAUGGGGUGACUGCGUACCUUUUGUAUAAUGGGUCAGCGACUUAUAUUCUGUAGCAAGGUUAACCGAAUAGGGGAGCCGAAGGGAAACCGAGUCUUAACUGGGCGUUAAGUUGCAGGGUAUAGACCCGAAACCCGGUGAUCUAGCCAUGGGCAGGUUGAAGGUUGGGUAACACUAACUGGAGGACCGAACCGACUAAUGUUGAAAAAUUAGCGGAUGACUUGUGGCUGGGGGUGAAAGGCCAAUCAAACCGGGAGAUAGCUGGUUCUCCCCGAAAGCUAUUUAGGUAGCGCCUCGUGAAUUCAUCUCCGGGGGUAGAGCACUGUUUCGGCAAGGGGGUCAUCCCGACUUACCAACCCGAUGCAAACUGCGAAUACCGGAGAAUGUUAUCACGGGAGACACACGGCGGGUGCUAACGUCCGUCGUGAAGAGGGAAACAACCCAGACCGCCAGCUAAGGUCCCAAAGUCAUGGUUAAGUGGGAAACGAUGUGGGAAGGCCCAGACAGCCAGGAUGUUGGCUUAGAAGCAGCCAUCAUUUAAAGAAAGCGUAAUAGCUCACUGGUCGAGUCGGCCUGCGCGGAAGAUGUAACGGGGCUAAACCAUGCACCGAAGCUGCGGCAGCGACGCUUAUGCGUUGUUGGGUAGGGGAGCGUUCUGUAAGCCUGUGAAGGUGUGCUGUGAGGCAUGCUGGAGGUAUCAGAAGUGCGAAUGCUGACAUAAGUAACGAUAAAGCGGGUGAAAAGCCCGCUCGCCGGAAGACCAAGGGUUCCUGUCCAACGUUAAUCGGGGCAGGGUGAGUCGACCCCUAAGGCGAGGCCGAAAGGCGUAGUCGAUGGGAAACAGGUUAAUAUUCCUGUACUUGGUGUUACUGCGAAGGGGGGACGGAGAAGGCUAUGUUGGCCGGGCGACGGUUGUCCCGGUUUAAGCGUGUAGGCUGGUUUUCCAGGCAAAUCCGGAAAACCAAGGCUGAGGCGUGAUGACGAGGCACUACGGUGCUGAAGCGACAAAUGCCCUGCUUCCAGGAAAAGCCUCUAAGCAUCAGGUAACAUCAAAUCGUACCCCAAACCGACACAGGUGGUCAGGUAGAGAAUACCAAGGCGCUUGAGAGAACUCGGGUGAAGGAACUAGGCAAAAUGGUGCCGUAACUUCGGGAGAAGGCACGCUGAUAUGUAGGUGAAGCGACUUGCUCGUGGAGCUGAAAUCAGUCGAAGAUACCAGCUGGCUGCAACUGUUUAUUAAAAACACAGCACUGUGCAAACACGAAAGUGGACGUAUACGGUGUGACGCCUGCCCGGUGCCGGAAGGUUAAUUGAUGGGGUUAGCGGCAACGCGAAGCUCUUGAUCGAAGCCCCGGUAAACGGCGGCCGUAACUAUAACGGUCCUAAGGUAGCGAAAUUCCUUGUCGGGUAAGUUCCGACCUGCACGAAUGGCGUAAUGAUGGCCAGGCUGUCUCCACCCGAGACUCAGUGAAAUUGAACUCGCUGUGAAGAUGCAGUGUACCCGCGGCAAGACGGAAAGACCCCGUGAACCUUUACUAUAGCUUGACACUGAACAUUGAGCCUUGAUGUGUAGGAUAGGUGGGAGGCUUUGAAGUGUGGACGCCAGUCUGCAUGGAGCCGACCUUGAAAUACCACCCUUUAAUGUUUGAUGUUCUAACGUUGGCCCGUAAUCCGGGUUGCGGACAGUGUCUGGUGGGUAGUUUGACUGGGGCGGUCUCCUCCUAAAGAGUAACGGAGGAGCACGAAGGUUGGCUAAUCCUGGUCGGACAUCAGGAGGUUAGUGCAAUGGCAUAAGCCAGCUUGACUGCGAGCGUGACGGCGCGAGCAGGUGCGAAAGCAGGUCAUAGUGAUCCGGUGGUUCUGAAUGGAAGGGCCAUCGCUCAACGGAUAAAAGGUACUCCGGGGAUAACAGGCUGAUACCGCCCAAGAGUUCAUAUCGACGGCGGUGUUUGGCACCUCGAUGUCGGCUCAUCACAUCCUGGGGCUGAAGUAGGUCCCAAGGGUAUGGCUGUUCGCCAUUUAAAGUGGUACGCGAGCUGGGUUUAGAACGUCGUGAGACAGUUCGGUCCCUAUCUGCCGUGGGCGCUGGAGAACUGAGGGGGGCUGCUCCUAGUACGAGAGGACCGGAGUGGACGCAUCACUGGUGUUCGGGUUGUCAUGCCAAUGGCACUGCCCGGUAGCUAAAUGCGGAAGAGAUAAGUGCUGAAAGCAUCUAAGCACGAAACUUGCCCCGAGAUGAGUUCUCCCUGACUCCUUGAGGGUCCUGAAGGAACGUUGAAGACGACGACGUUGAUAGGCUGGGUGUGUAAGCGCAGCGAUGCGUUGAGCUAACCGGUACUAAUGAACCGUGAGGCUUAACCUU